AACUGUAACAAACCAUAAUUUCCCCUCUGGGCUUAAUAAAUUACUUCUGAUUCUCAUUAUAAGAAUUGUCAUCCAGAGUUUGGGAAACACAAGCACUUUGCAAUGGUCUUACUUGUAAAAACAUCUGAUAUGUCAUCGAUAAAUGUCAAAUAAUUUCAAUUAAAAAUGUCAGGCAUUGCACCUUUAGUCUCUUGAAUGAAAGUCAGACAAGCCUAGGCAAUAUUCAAGCUAAUGUUUAUGUAGUCUAGCCUGGUUUAGUUCAGUUUUGAAGGAAACUAUAUUGUAAUGUCAGGCUGAAUUACAGGGAAAUAUGUACAAAGUGCCUCACAAAUCAUGUCAAAAAAAUUAAAUUUGAUAGUUUAUUUAUGUAAAUGUGUAGUUGUCUGACUGUAAUCACAUUUGGCUAUCUUUUCUGCAGUCACAGUAAAAAUCAAAAUGUGGUUUUAUAUGAUUAAAAGAAGGAGAAAGUGGUGGAAUAUGUGAAAUGCUCCUUUUCCUGUCUGCUGCUGUGGGGGCAUGUAUGUGUUUGAUUGACAGCUGCUGACAGGCUCAGCUCCGCAGGUGAAGGUGAAUAAACAAACAAACAUGCCUGUAAAUAAACAGCUCAUGGACAGGCAGCGUGUUGUCAGCAGUGGUGUAAAAUAAUAAUGACCACACCAGCGUCUGAAUGGCCCGGGGUGACAUUAGCAGUCCUCUCCUUCACACACACAGUCUCCAGUAAAGCGGUCACAGCUGAGGUUGGGCGAACAGGAGCAGGUCUGAGUGCAGAAUGGACCGAAGCGACCUGGACUACAGGCUGGAAAACACAAGUUACCAGGUGGCUAAUGUUAGCCUUGUCCAGAACGGGGCUAUCAGAGCCAGCCUCCUGGUCGUUUUACGGACACAGAUGGCAACAAUGAGCUCAUCGGGCCCACCAGCAUCAGGUGCUGAGGACUUAAAGACAUAUUUGGAGAGGCCUUCAGCAGACAGGAAUAAAGGCUGUUGCAGUAAUCAAGACGCAAGAAACCCAGUGAUAGGUGCCAAAAACACGCCCACGUUUGAGGUUGAAAAGCUGCUGGAAAAACAGCCAAGGGUAGCAAGGAAAUCGUCUCCAACAGUGGUCUGCAGCUUGGCA
Molecule: long non-coding RNA, 1114 nt
Organism: Epinephelus fuscoguttatus (brown-marbled grouper)
Lineage: Eukaryota; Metazoa; Chordata; Actinopteri; Perciformes; Serranidae
Exons: 4
Source: RefSeq, a predicted model, not a curated record